UGGGGAAUUUUGGACAAUGGGGGCAACCCUGAUCCAGCAACGCCGCGUGAAUGAAGAAGGCCUUAGGGUUGUAAAGUUCUUUUGUCUGGGGACAAAAGUGCAUGGCUAAUACCGAUGCAUGAUGAGGGUACCAGAAGAAUAAGCACCGGCUAACUACGUGCCAGCAGCCGCGGUAAUACGUAGGGUGCGAGCGUUAAUCGGAAUUACUGGGCGUAAAGGGUGCGUAGGCGGAUAUAUAAGUUAGAUGUGAAAUCCCCGAGCUUAACUUGGGAAUGGCAUUUAAGACUGUAUGUCUAGAGUCUGUAAGAGGGGGGUAGAAUUCCGAGUGUAGCAGUGAAAUGCGUAGAGAUUCGGAGGAACACCAGUGGCGAAGGCGGCCCCCUGGUAUAAGACUGACGCU
This 400-nucleotide ribosomal RNA is filed under the name uncultured bacterium. RNAcentral describes it as "bacterial SSU rRNA". It matches the Rfam family "Bacterial small subunit ribosomal RNA", at positions 355 to 747 of the family's 1533-position model. The record is from RNAcentral.